GGCUGGUCCAAGUGCAGUGGUGUUUACAACUAAUUGAUCACAACCAGUUACAGAUUUCUUUGUUCCUUCUCCACCCCCACUGCUUCACUUGACUAGCCUUUU
Y RNA from Callithrix jacchus (white-tufted-ear marmoset), 102 nucleotides. It matches the Rfam family "Y RNA". Rfam says of the family: Y RNAs are components of the Ro ribonucleoprotein particle (Ro RNP), in association with Ro60 and La proteins. The Y RNAs and Ro60 and La proteins are well conserved, but the function of the Ro RNP is not known. The record is from Ensembl. Lineage: Eukaryota; Metazoa; Chordata; Mammalia; Primates; Cebidae.